AAAAACAUAGGUUCCGAUAAUGCAAUAAGAUAACCCACAUGCAACCUAUAGCGAUACAUAGUAACAAUUUCAUUUCAAAAAGUAGGAGACAAUUAUGCUUAGCUGUUUGCCUUGGUUCUCUUCAGGCUCAAACUAGACAUCUACACCAGCCUUGGCUUCGGGCUCAAGGGUCACGUUCUUCGGCAAAUCACUUUCUAAAAGAAUGAAAUGCGUGCAUGCAUUAGAGAUGAUGC
RNAcentral lists this long non-coding RNA (233 nucleotides) under Setaria italica (foxtail millet). Its description in RNAcentral is "long non-coding RNA (SITA_LNC005881)". Lineage: Eukaryota; Viridiplantae; Streptophyta; Magnoliopsida; Poales; Poaceae. The record is from RNAcentral.